RNAcentral lists this ribosomal RNA (505 nucleotides) under uncultured bacterium. RNAcentral describes it as "bacterial SSU rRNA". It matches the Rfam family "Bacterial small subunit ribosomal RNA", at positions 1 to 507 of the family's 1533-position model. The record is from RNAcentral.
ACGAGUUUGAUCAUGGCUCAGGUUGAACGCUGGCGGCAUGCUUUACACAUGCAAGUCGAACGGUAACAGGGAGCUUGCUCCGCUGACGAGUGGCGAACGGGUGAGUAAUGCAUCGGAACGUACCCAGUCGUGGGGGAUAACGUAGCGAAAGUUACGCUAAUACCGCAUACGUCCUGAGGGAGAAAGCGGGGGACCGUAAGGCCUCGCGCGAUUGGAGCGGCCGAUGUCGGAUUAGCUAGUUGGUAGGGUAAAGGCCUACCAAGGCGACGAUCCGUAGCGGGUCUGAGAGGAUGAUCCGCCACACUGGGACUGAGACACGGCCCAGACUCCUACGGGAGGCAGCAGUGGGGAAUUUUGGACAAUGGGCGAAAGCCUGAUCCAGCCAUGCCGCGUGAGUGAAGAAGGCCUUCGGGUUGUAAAGCUCUUUCAGCCGGAAAGAAAUCGCGCAGGAUAAUACUCUGCGUGGAUGACGGUACCGGAAGAAGAAGCACCGGCUAACUACGUG